CUUAAUCGAGUGUCUAGGGAUGCUGACAGGUUUACUUUGAAAAAAUUAGAGUGCUCAAAGCAGGCUAUUACGCUUGAAUAUUAGUGCAUGGAAUAAUAGAAUAGGAAGUUGUUUCUAUUUUGUUGGUUUUCGGAAAUCGACUUAAUGAUUAAUAGGGACAGUCGGGGGCAUUUGUAUUCAAACGACAGAGGUGAAAUUCUUGGACCGUUUGAAGACAAACUACUGCGAAGGCAUUUGCCAAGAAUGUUUUCAUUAAUCAAGAACGAAAGUUAGAGGUUCGAAGGCGAUUAGAUACCGCCCUAGUUCUAACCAUAAACGAUGCCAGCUAGCGAUCUGAGGACGUUUUUUUUGUAGACUCCUCAGGAAGCUUCCGGGAAACCAAAGCGUGUGGGUUCCGGGGGAAGUAUGGUUGCAAAGCUGAAACUUAAAGGAAUUGACGGAAGGGCACCACCAGGAGUGGAGCCUGCGGCUUAAUUUGACUCAACACGGGAAAUCUCACCAGGCCCGGACACUGGAAGGAUUGACAGAUUGAGAGCUCUUUCUCGAUUCGGUGGGUGGUGGUGCAUGGCCGUUCUUAGUUGGUGGAGUGAUUUGUCUGGUUAAUUCCGAUAACGAACGAGACUCUGUCCUGCUAAAUAGUGUCAGCCUCUCUUUUGGGCUGACAAUUCUUCUUAGAGGGACUGGCGGCUCCUAGCCGCACGAGAUAGAGCAAUAACAGGUCUGUGAUGCCCUUAGAUGUUCUGGGCAGCACGCGCGCUACACUGAAUAGAUCAGCGUGUUCUCCCUUUCUGAGAAGAACGGGUAAACCGCUGAACCCUAUUCGUGGUAGGGAUCGGGGCUUGCAAUUAUUCCCCGUGAACCAGGAAUUCCCAGUAGGCGCGAGUCAUAAGCUCGCGUCGAUUACGUCCCUGCCCUUUGUACACACCGCCCGUCGCUACUACCGAUUGAACGUUUUAGUGAGGUCCACGGACUGUUUGCAGAGCGGAUUAUUCUGCCUUGCUGGCGGGAAG
RNAcentral lists this ribosomal RNA (1010 nucleotides) under Metridia okhotensis. Its description in RNAcentral is "SSU rRNA". It matches the Rfam family "Eukaryotic small subunit ribosomal RNA", at positions 721 to 1754 of the family's 1831-position model. Lineage: Eukaryota; Metazoa; Arthropoda; Copepoda; Calanoida; Metridinidae. The record is from RNAcentral.